This 279-nucleotide ribosomal RNA is filed under the name uncultured archaeon. RNAcentral describes it as "partial 16S rRNA". It matches the Rfam family "Archaeal small subunit ribosomal RNA", at positions 1047 to 1325 of the family's 1478-position model. The record is from RNAcentral.
GAGACCCACGCCAACAGUUGCCAGCACGUUCUCCGGAAUGGUGGGGACACUGUUGGGACCGCCUCUGCUAAAGAGGAGGAAGGAAUGGGCAACGGUAGGUCAGCAUGCCCCGAAUUAUCCGGGCUACACGCGGGCUACAAUGGUCAGGACAAUGGGUAUCGACACCGAGAGGUGAAGGCAAUCUCUUAAACCUGUCCUUAGUUCGGAUUGUGGGCUGCAACUCGCCCACAUGAAGCUGGAAUCCGUAGUAAUCGCGUCUCAAAAUGGCGCGGUGAAUAU